This is a non-coding RNA of Acanthosepion pharaonis, 113 nucleotides long. The record is from the annotation of a GenBank genome assembly. NCBI's taxonomy places the organism in Eukaryota, Metazoa, Mollusca, Cephalopoda, Sepiida, Sepiidae.
UUACGGCCAUAUCAUGUUGAAACACCGGUUAUCGUACGAUCACCGAAGUUAAGCAAUGCCGUGCUUAGUCUGCAUAUAGAUGGGUGACCGCUUGAAAAUACCAGGAAUUGUAA